GGAGAGAUGGCCGAGUGGCUUAAGGCGCAUGUCUUGAAAACAUGUGUGGGGAAACUCACCGUGGGUUCGAAUCCCUCUCUCUCCG
Molecule: transfer RNA, 85 nt
Filed under: Chloroflexi bacterium HGW-Chloroflexi-8
Lineage: Bacteria; Bacillati; Chloroflexota
Also listed under: 1 other name
Description: tRNA-Ser
Rfam family: tRNA
About the family: Transfer RNA (tRNA) molecules are approximately 80 nucleotides in length. Their secondary structure includes four short double-helical elements and three loops (D, anti-codon, and T loops).
Source: RNAcentral